UACGUAGGGGGCAAGCGUUGUCCGGAUUUAUUGGGCGUAAAGCGCACGUAGGCGGUUUGUUAAGUCGGAUGUGAAAUCCCUCGGCUCAACUGAGGAAGUGCAUCCGAAACUGGCAGGCUUGAGUACUAAAGAGGGUCGCGGAAUUCCCGGUGUAGAGGUGAAAUUCGUAGAUAUCGGGAGGAACACCGGUGGCGAAGGCGGCGACCUGGGUAGAUACUGACGCUGAGGUGCGAAAGCGUGGGGAGCAAACAGG
This 253-nucleotide ribosomal RNA is filed under the name uncultured bacterium. RNAcentral's name for it is "partial 16S ribosomal RNA". It matches the Rfam family "Bacterial small subunit ribosomal RNA", at positions 524 to 776 of the family's 1533-position model. The record is from RNAcentral.